AACACAUACGAAGACAAAUGCCGCUCUCUAUCUCUCUGUCUUCGCUGCGUUUUGCUUCCGAAUCUCGCAGUGGCCAAAUUGUGAUUGUAGUUCAGCUUUUAAUUCUUGAUAUGUGGUUGCCCACAAAAAUAAAAAGCCAGUGGUUUUGAAGACUCCAGAAAAUUCCCCCCAGAUCUUCAGAUGAAUGAGUUUUUAUUGCACGGUGAUGCAAAAUAAUGCAGUUCCUGCAUGAAGUUGCGGCUGUGCCAUGCCAUCUCUCCGUGGUGGAGACGUCGGAUCUUGGAUAGAGUUGGUUGUUUGCAGGCCUUGUGUAGCAGAGAUCAUAGAGUUAGUAGUUGACUUGAGAUUGUUAAGUACUUUUUUCUGGCUAAUCGGAUCAUAGCUCCACCAUUCAAAAUGCAGAGCAAUUCUGAAGCCCUACCCUUGAGAUGGUUUAAAUACAUAUAUCGGAUAUUUUGUCGAGUAUUUAAUCUUUUGGAUCCAGUUUAUGCAAGUGGGCAGUGUUCUUUCUGAUGUCCACAAAUAACUUAUUAUACAUCUGCCCAUGGCUCUUGUGGAAUCGGUA
Tripterygium wilfordii is the source of this 565-nucleotide long non-coding RNA. RefSeq lists it as uncharacterized. The transcript has 2 exons. The record is from RefSeq and is a predicted model, not a curated record. NCBI's taxonomy places the organism in Eukaryota, Viridiplantae, Streptophyta, Magnoliopsida, Celastrales, Celastraceae.